UACCAGCACCCCGAGUGGUCGGGACGUUUAUUGGGCCUAAAGCAUCCGUAGCCGGUUCUACAAGUCUUCCGUUAAAUCCACCUGCUUAACAGAUGGGCUGCGGAAGAUACUAUAGAGCUAGGAGGCGGGAGAGGCAAGCGGUACUCGAUGGGUAGGGGUAAGAUCCGUUGAUCCAUUGAAGACCACCAGUGGCGAAGGCGGCUUGCCAGAACGCGCUCGACGGUGAGGGAUGAAAGCUGGGGGAGCAAACCGG
Molecule: ribosomal RNA, 253 nt
Filed under: uncultured bacterium
Lineage: Bacteria
Description: partial 16S ribosomal RNA
Rfam family: Archaeal small subunit ribosomal RNA
Source: RNAcentral